AGUUUAAUGCUUUGUAUUAAGCUAUUAUGUGGGGUUAGCUAGCCCCUAUUUUUGUAUUAAACAC
RNAcentral lists this transfer RNA (64 nucleotides) under Notochthamalus scabrosus. RNAcentral's name for it is "tRNA-Lys". The record is from RNAcentral. Lineage: Eukaryota; Metazoa; Arthropoda; Thecostraca; Balanomorpha; Chthamalidae.